Molecule: long non-coding RNA, 178 nt
Filed under: Mustela putorius furo (domestic ferret)
Lineage: Eukaryota; Metazoa; Chordata; Mammalia; Carnivora; Mustelidae
Description: lncRNA (ENSMPUG00000030905.1)
Source: RNAcentral
CCAGGGCAAUGGGUUCCUAGGGGUUAAUAAGGACUAAGAGUUGUCUCAGAGGGAGCCCCAAAUGUGAGCCUGGCACUGGGCUGAUGUUUCCUGCAAGCAUCACGAAAAUCCCACCAGGUUAGGAACUCUCAUUUCCUACUUCUUCAGACCCCUCAGAGCCUACCCAGCAAAAGGCCAA